RNAcentral lists this ribosomal RNA (511 nucleotides) under uncultured bacterium. Its description in RNAcentral is "bacterial SSU rRNA". It matches the Rfam family "Bacterial small subunit ribosomal RNA", at positions 9 to 515 of the family's 1533-position model. The record is from RNAcentral.
GAGUUUGAUCGUGGCUCAGAUUGAACGCUGGCGGCAGGCCUAACACAUGCAAGUCGAGCGGUAGAGAGAAGCUUGCUUCUCUUGAGAGCGGCGGACGGGUGAGUAAUGCCUAGGAAUCUGCCUGGUAGUGGGGGAUAACGCUCGGAAACGGACGCUAAUACCGCAUACGUCCUACGGGAGAAAGCAGGGGACCUUCGGGCCUUGCGCUAUCAGAUGAGCCUAGGUCGGAUUAGCUAGUUGGUGAGGUAAUGGCUCACCAAGGCGACGAUCCGUAACUGGUCUGAGAGGAUGAUCAGUCACACUGGAACUGAGACACGGUCCAGACUCCUACGGGAGGCAGCAGUGGGGAAUAUUGGACAAUGGGCGAAAGCCUGAUCCAGCCAUGCCGCGUGUGUGAAGAAGGUCUUCGGAUUGUAAAGCACUUUAAGUUGGGAGGAAGGGCAGUAAAUUAAUACUUUGCUGUUUGACGUUACCGACUAGAAUAAGCACCGGCUAACUCUGUGUCAGCACG